AUUGAACGCUGGCGGUAUGCCUUACACAUGCAAGUCGAACGGUAGAGGGGCAACCCUUGAGAGUGGCGAACGGGUGAGUAAUACAUCGGAACGUGCCCAGUCGUGGGGGAUAACGUAGCGAAAGCUACGCUAAUACCGCAUACGACCUGAGGGUGAAAGCGGGGGAUCGCAAGACCUCGCGCGAUUGGAGCGGCCGAUGGCAGAUUAGGUAGUUGGUGGGGUAAAGGCCUACCAAGCCUGCGAUCUGUAGCUGGUCUGAGAGGACGACCAGCCACACUGGGACUGAGACACGGCCCAGACUCCUACGGGAGGCAGCAGUGGGGAAUUUUGGACAAUGGGCGAAAGCCUGAUCCAGCCAUACCGCGUGCGGGAAGAAGGCCUUCGGGUUGUAAACCGCUUUUGUCAGGGAGGAAAUCUUCUGGGUUAAUACCUCGGGAGGAUGACGGUACCUGAAGAAUAAGCACCGGCUAACUACGUGCCAGCCGCCGCCGUAA
This 494-nucleotide ribosomal RNA is filed under the name uncultured bacterium. Its description in RNAcentral is "partial 16S ribosomal RNA". It matches the Rfam family "Bacterial small subunit ribosomal RNA", at positions 29 to 523 of the family's 1533-position model. The record is from RNAcentral.